AAAUUGAAGAGUUUGAUCAUGGCUCAGAUUGAACGCUGGCGGCAGGCCUAACACAUGCAAGUCGAACGGUAACAGGAAUCAGCUUGCUGAUUCGCUGACGAGUGGCGGACGGGUGAGUAAUGUCUGGGAAACUGCCUGAUGGAGGGGGAUAACUACUGGAAACGGUAGCUAAUACCGCAUAACGUCGCAAGACCAAAGAGGGGGACCUUCGGGCCUCUUGCCAUCAGAUGUGCCCAGAUGGGAUUAGCUAGUAGGUGGGGUAACGGCUCACCUAGGCGACGAUCCCUAGCUGGUCUGAGAGGAUGACCAGCCACACUGGAACUGAGACACGGUCCAGACUCCUACGGGAGGCAGCAGUGGGGAAUAUUGCACAAUGGGCGCAAGCCUGAUGCAGCCAUGCCGCGUGUAUGAAGAAGGCCUUCGGGUUGUAAAGUACUUUCAGCGGGGAGGAAGGGAGUAAAGUUAAUACCUUUGCUCAUUGACGUUACCCGCAGAAGAAGCACCGGCUAACUCCGUGCCAGCAGCCGCGGUAAUACGGAGGGUGCAAGCGUUAAUCGGAAUUACUGGGCGUAAAGCGCACGCAGGCGGUUUGUUAAGUCAGAUGUGAAAUCCCCGGGCUCAACCUGGGAACUGCAUCUGAUACUGGCAAGCUUGAGUCUCGUAGAGGGGGGUAGAAUUCCAGGUGUAGCGGUGAAAUGCGUAGAGAUCUGGAGGAAUACCGGUGGCGAAGGCGGCCCCCUGGACGAAGACUGACGCUCAGGUGCGAAAGCGUGGGGAGCAAACAGGAUUAGAUACCCUGGUAGUCCACGCCGUAAACGAUGUCGACUUGGAGGUUGUGCCCUUGAGGCGUGGCUUCCGGAGCUAACGCGUUAAGUCGACCGCCUGGGGAGUACGGCCGCAAGGUUAAAACUCAAAUGAAUUGACGGGGGCCCGCACAAGCGGUGGAGCAUGUGGUUUAAUUCGAUGCAACGCGAAGAACCUUACCUGGUCUUGACAUCCACGGAAGUUUUCAGAGAUGAGAAUGUGCCUUCGGGAACCGUGAGACAGGUGCUGCAUGGCUGUCGUCAGCUCGUGUUGUGAAAUGUUGGGUUAAGUCCCGCAACGAGCGCAACCCUUAUCCUUUGUUGCCAGCGGUCCGGCCGGGAACUCAAAGGAGACUGCCAGUGAUAAACUGGAGGAAGGUGGGGAUGACGUCAAGUCAUCAUGGCCCUUACGACCAGGGCUACACACGUGCUACAAUGGCGCAUACAAAGAGAAGCGACCUCGCGAGAGCAAGCGGACCUCAUAAAGUGCGUCGUAGUCCGGAUUGGAGUCUGCAACUCGACUCCAUGAAGUCGGAAUCGCUAGUAAUCGUGGAUCAGAAUGCCACGGUGAAUACGUUCCCGGGCCUUGUACACACCGCCCGUCACACCAUGGGAGUGGGUUGCAAAAGAAGUAGGUAGCUUAACCUUCGGGAGGGCGCUUACCACUUUGUGAUUCAUGACUGGGGUGAAGUCGUAACAAGGUAACCGUAGGGGAACCUGCGGUUGGAUCACCUCCUUACCUUAAAGAAGC
RNAcentral lists this ribosomal RNA (1554 nucleotides) under Escherichia coli. Its description in RNAcentral is "bacterial SSU rRNA". It matches the Rfam family "Bacterial small subunit ribosomal RNA". The record is from RNAcentral. Lineage: Bacteria; Pseudomonadati; Pseudomonadota; Gammaproteobacteria; Enterobacterales; Enterobacteriaceae.